AGCGGCGAGUGAAGCGGCAAGAGCUCAGAUUUGAAAUCGUGCUUUGCGGCACGAGUUGUAGAUUGCAGGUUGGAGUCUGUGUGGAAGGCGGUGUCCAAGUCCCUUGGAACAGGGCGCCCAGGAGGGUGAGAGCCCCGUGGGAUGCCGGCGGAAGCAGUGAGGCCCUUCUGACGAGUCGAGUUGUUUGGGAAUGCAGCUCCAAGCGGGUGGUAAAUUCCAUCUAAGGCUAAAUACUGGCGAGAGACCGAUAGCGAACAAGUACUGUGAAGGAAAGAUGAAAAGCACUUUGAAAAGAGAGUGAAACAGCACGUGAAAUUGUUGAAAGGGAAGGGUAUUGCGCCCGACAUGGGGAUUGCGCACCGCUGCCUCUCGUGGGCGGCGCUCUGGGCUUUCCCUGGGCCAGCAUCGGUUCUUGCUGCAGGAGAAGGGGUUCUGGAACGUGGCUCUUCGGAGUGUUAUAGCCAGGGCCAGAUGCUGCGUGCGGGGACCGAGGACUGCGGCCGUGUA
Molecule: ribosomal RNA, 507 nt
Filed under: Pichia kudriavzevii
Lineage: Eukaryota; Fungi; Ascomycota; Pichiomycetes; Pichiales; Pichiaceae
Description: eukaryotic LSU rRNA
Rfam family: Eukaryotic large subunit ribosomal RNA
Source: RNAcentral